Molecule: ribosomal RNA, 486 nt
Filed under: uncultured bacterium
Lineage: Bacteria
Description: partial 16S ribosomal RNA
Rfam family: Bacterial small subunit ribosomal RNA
Source: RNAcentral
AUUGAACGCUGGCGGCAUGCCUUACACAUGCAAGUCGAACGGCAGCACGGGUGCUUGCACCUGGUGGCGAGUGGCGAACGGGUGAGUAAUACAUCGGAACAUGUCCUGUAGUGGGGGAUAGCCCGGCGAAAGCCGGAUUAAUACCGCAUACGAUCUACGGAUGAAAGCGGGGGACCUUCGGGCCUCGCGCUAUAGGGUUGGCCGAUGGCUGAUUAGCUAGUUGGUGGGGUAAAGGCCUACCAAGGCGACGAUCAGCAGCUGGUCUGAGAGGACGACCAGCCACACUGGGACUGAGACACGGCCCAGACUCCUACGGGAGGCAGCAGUGGGGAAUUUUGGACAAUGGGCGAAAGCCUGAUCCAGCAAUGCCGCGUGUGUGAAGAAGGCCUUCGGGUUGUAAAGCACUUUUGUCCGGAAAGAAAUCCUUGGCCCUAAUACGGUCGGGGAAUGACGGUACCGGAAGAAUAAGCACCGGCUAACUACGUG